This 296-nucleotide signal recognition particle RNA is filed under the name Cebus imitator (Panamanian white-faced capuchin). RNAcentral's name for it is "Metazoan signal recognition particle RNA (ENSCCAG00000013233.1)". It matches the Rfam family "Metazoan signal recognition particle RNA". From Rfam's summary of the family: The signal recognition particle (SRP) is a universally conserved ribonucleoprotein. It is involved in the co-translational targeting of proteins to membranes. Lineage: Eukaryota; Metazoa; Chordata; Mammalia; Primates; Cebidae. The record is from RNAcentral.
GCCAGGCGUGCUGGCACGUGCCUGUAGUCCCAGAUACUUGGGAAGUCGAGGUGGGAGGAUUGCUUGAGCCCUGGAGUGCUGGGCUGUAGUGCACUAUGCCAAUCAGGUGUCUGCACUAAGUUCGGCAUGAAUAUGGUGACCUCCCAGGAGCGGGGGACCACCAGGUUGCCUGAGGGGUGAACCUGCCCAGGUCGGAAAUGAAGCAGGUCAAAACUCACAUGCUGAUCAGUAGUGGGACUGCACCUGUGAAGAGCCACUGCAUUCCAGCCUGGGCAACAUAGCAAGAUCCAGUCUCC